Molecule: ribosomal RNA, 231 nt
Filed under: Ophthalmopsylla kiritschenkovi
Lineage: Eukaryota; Metazoa; Arthropoda; Insecta; Siphonaptera; Leptopsyllidae
Description: partial 12S ribosomal RNA
Source: RNAcentral
UAGUAUUAGAUAUAAUCUUGAAACUUAAAAAAUUUGGCGGUAUUUUAAUCUUUUCAGAGGAACCUGUUCUGUAAUCGAUAUUCCACGUUUAAUUUUACUAAAUUAUUUGUAUAUCGUUGUCGAAAGAAUAAAUUUUCUAAUAUUAAAAUUUUAAUAGAUGUCAAAUCAAGGUGCAGUUAAUAAUUUAGAAGAAAUGGGUUACAAUAAAUUUAUUUAGGAAUUAUAUAAAGG